RNAcentral lists this ribosomal RNA (500 nucleotides) under uncultured bacterium. RNAcentral's name for it is "partial 16S ribosomal RNA". It matches the Rfam family "Bacterial small subunit ribosomal RNA", at positions 30 to 523 of the family's 1533-position model. The record is from RNAcentral.
AUUGAACGCUGGCGGAAUGCUUUACACAUGCAAGUCGAACGGCAGCACGGACUUCGGUCUGGUGGCGAGUGGCGAACGGGUGAGUAAUACAUCGGAACGUGCCCAAUCGUGGGGGAUAACGUAGCGAAAGCUACGCUAAUACCGCAUACGAUCUAAGGAUGAAAGCGGGGGAUCGCAAGACCUCGCGCGAUUGGAGCGGCCGAUGGCAGAUUAGGUAGUUGGUAGGGUAAAGGCCUACCAAGCCGACGAUCUGUAGCUGGUCUGAGAGGAUGAUGAGCCACACUGGGACUGAGACACGGCCCAGACUCCUACGGGAGGCAGCAGUGGGGAAUUUUGGACAAUGGACGCAAGUCUGAUCCAGCCAUUCCGCGUGCAGGAUGAAGGCCCUCGGGUUGUAAACUGCUUUUGUACAGAACGAAAAGGCUCUGGUUAAUACCUAGGGCUCAUGACGGUACUGUAAGAAUAAGCACCGGCUACCUACGUGCCAGCAGCCGCGGUAA